This is a long non-coding RNA of Solanum tuberosum (potato), 438 nucleotides long. RefSeq lists it as uncharacterized. NCBI's taxonomy places the organism in Eukaryota, Viridiplantae, Streptophyta, Magnoliopsida, Solanales, Solanaceae. The record is from RefSeq and is a predicted model, not a curated record. The transcript is spliced from 3 exons.
CUUGUUUUAUCAUAAUCCUCUGUUCAUCCUCAGCAACCUCUAGGAGAUUGCCAGGUUAUAGAUGCAAUGACUAUAAAUUUCGAGAAGAAUCGUGUUCACCACGUAGAUCCCUCUACCUUAGAGAUUUUGAGGAACCAAUCCAAGCACCAGAUUCAAUAUCGCCACCUGAUCGUGGAUCAUGAACAGAAUAUUAAUUGAGUAACAACAAAAAUUAUAUUGAGCAAGAACUUAAUAUUAUAUUUAUGUUUAAUUAAAUAUGGUGUUGGAGUUGGACAAUUGUAUGUUUGGAAUUUGGAUACUCUAGAAUUGCUUAGUCCAUGAUAGAUCUUCAAUGGAGUUAAGCUAGUAAUAAAUACUCCCAAUACUUAUGUUAAUUAAGUUGAAUUAUGCUUGCACUAUGUAAUUAAUAAGGAAUUAAUACUUAUGUUAAUUAAGGGA